RNAcentral lists this transfer RNA (72 nucleotides) under Bos taurus (domestic cattle). It matches the Rfam family "tRNA". From Rfam's summary of the family: Transfer RNA (tRNA) molecules are approximately 80 nucleotides in length. Their secondary structure includes four short double-helical elements and three loops (D, anti-codon, and T loops). Lineage: Eukaryota; Metazoa; Chordata; Mammalia; Artiodactyla; Bovidae. The record is from Rfam by way of RNAcentral. RNAcentral also lists the same sequence under 3 other names.
UCCCUGAGAGGCCAGUGGUUAGGACUUGGGGCUUUCACUCCCAGGGCCCGGGUUCAAUCUCUAGUCAGGGAA